AUUGAACGCUGGCGGCAGGCCUAACACAUGCAAGUCGAGCGGAUGAAGGGAGCUUGCUCCUGGAUUCAGCGGCGGACGGGUGAGUAAUGCCUAGGAAUCUGCCUGGUAGUGGGGGAUAACGUCCGGAAACGGGCGCUAAUACCGCAUACGUCCUGAGGGAGAAAGUGGGGGAUCUUCGGACCUCACGCUAUCAGAUGAGCCUAGGUCGGAUUAGCUAGUUGGUGGGGUAAAGGCCUACCAAGGCGACGAUCCGUAACUGGUCUGAGAGGAUGAUCAGGCACACUGGAACUGAGACACGGUCCAGACUCCUACGGGAGGCAGCAGUGGGGAAUAUUGGACAAUGGGCGAAAGCCUGAUCCAGCCAUGCCGCGUGUGUGAAGAAGGUCUUCGGAUUGUAAGGCACUUUAAGUUGGGAGGAAGGGCAGUAAGUUAAUACCUUGCUGUUUUGACGUUACCAACAGAAUAAGCACCGGCUAACUUCGUG
Molecule: ribosomal RNA, 484 nt
Filed under: uncultured bacterium
Lineage: Bacteria
Description: partial 16S ribosomal RNA
Rfam family: Bacterial small subunit ribosomal RNA
Source: RNAcentral